UACGGAGGGUGCAAGCGUUAAUCGGAAUAACUGGGCGUAAAGCGCACGCAGGCGGUUGGAUAAGCGAGAUGUGAAAGCCCCGGGCUCAACCUGGGAACUGCAUUUGAAACUGUCUGACUAGAGUCUUGUAGAGGGGGGUAGAAUUCCAGGUGUAGCGGUGAAAUGCGUAGAUAUACGGAGGAACACCAGUGGCGAAGGCGGCCUGCUGGACAAAGACUGACGCUCAGGUGCGAAAGCGUGGGGAGCAAAC
RNAcentral lists this ribosomal RNA (250 nucleotides) under uncultured bacterium. Its description in RNAcentral is "partial 16S ribosomal RNA". It matches the Rfam family "Bacterial small subunit ribosomal RNA", at positions 524 to 773 of the family's 1533-position model. The record is from RNAcentral.